UGAGUUUAGACGUGUCGAAUAGAUGGCGUGAAAGAAAAGAAUAUUAUGUUGUCAGAUAUGGGCUUACGGGCUUACGGCAGCUCGUUGUCCAAAGUUCAGUGGUUCAGCAGCUACAACAGUUCUUUUCUUCGAAAAUUAUAAAUGAAUUCGUCUGUAAAUUGGAUAGAUUUUGUGUUCAAUUUGUUUGACAUGUGUUCUUUUCUGUUAUUUAUGUGUUUAAUAACUUCAGUAUUUCUCAUUAAUUUUUCCAUGAGAAGAUGUGAAAGGAGUAAGAUGCAGCCUUUUACUGUCAACUAUUGUGUUAAAAAUCCUGGUAUCAUCAUACUCAAUAUGUCAUCCAAAUGACAGAGGUGGAUUCAUCAGAAAUAUUGGCUGAUUCUAUUGGACUUGCUAGAUCGUUUUAUCCCUAGAAUGGACCAAUCUUUCAUUCAAUCUUCUAGAGAACCUUGGAUAACUGAUUGGUGGUUUUGUGUGUUUUAAACUAUAGGUAUCUAAAUUUGCACGACGUCCUUCAACGUUCUUGGACUGACGUCAGUCAGUCAGCAAGGUAGGUUACCUUGUUUGGUAACCUGUUGGCUGCUUUCCUUGAAUCUCCAUUUUUACUUCUUUAAGCUUGAUUUGAGGGUAACUCCUUCACUACUUAUCAUGGACUUCAUCCAUUGGUGAUGCUGUAAUUCAGCAAGACUGAAAAAUUGUUUAGUCAGAUAAAACAAGUGCAUAUCUGGGUUCCCUUCUUUUCUGUGGCCCCGUUUCCCUAACUAACCACUAACCAACGCCCGCCGGUGG
Molecule: long non-coding RNA, 786 nt
Organism: Daphnia pulicaria
Lineage: Eukaryota; Metazoa; Arthropoda; Branchiopoda; Diplostraca; Daphniidae
Exons: 4
Source: RefSeq, a predicted model, not a curated record